Molecule: long non-coding RNA, 2992 nt
Filed under: Mus musculus (house mouse)
Lineage: Eukaryota; Metazoa; Chordata; Mammalia; Rodentia; Muridae
Description: long non-coding RNA chr11:69803901-69806893
Source: RNAcentral
AGUAGAGCAAGGUCCGCAGGAGGUAGGGCGCAGCGGCUCGGGUCCCCGCCACCAGCGGGCGCAGCAGCGCCUGGGCCGCCGCGUGUGCCUGAAGCAGCGGCGUGGGGAUGCGCUCUUUGAGCGCCAGCUCCUGGCGAGCGAAGCACAGCUGCCAUCCAGAGGUGCUCGGCUGCUCUGGGAGGCUGCCCGGCACUAGGUAGAAAGAGGCCGAUUCAGAGACCAGUGGACCCGCCCACGAGUGGCUCCGAGCCGUGUCAGGCCAGCCUGUCACGGUCACCACCGGGAUCAAGUCGAAGAGCAGGAGGUGGCGUGGGGGCUCUGGAGUUGCCAGGAGGACCGUGGUGACACCUGCGUGACGAGCUGCAUGAACUAGCCGUGGGGCGCCUGGGACCGGGAUCAGGGACUCAGCAACCUCAGCCAACUUAACGAAGAACCAGGAAGUUACUUGGGUCGGGCAUAAUGUGGGCCAUGCCUUUGGAGCCUCCGACGGCUUUGGGACUUGGCUUUCGUCGGCGUCCAAGGCGUCGCUGCUCAGUGUUUCCAAUGGCUCAGGAGUUUCAGGAUUGGUAAUGUCCUUAUAAGACGAUUGGGACUCUGAAAGGUCACUAGAUGAUUUUUGCAAAGACAUGUGUGGCUCAGGUUCAGGGACAUAAUCAUGUGACGGAUCUACAGAGUUUUCCCGGUCGGUGGGACUCUCUUUGCUAUGGGUUUGGUGAGUCAUAUCACUUUCUUCUGGGACAGGAGGUCCUAAGCAAUCCUGCCAGGCCUCCCGGACCAAAAUUCCACGCAUCAGUUCUGGAAGGCGGAGCCAUGCAGAACAGGAUUCCAGAUCCAGUAGCAGCUCGGGCCCAGUGCCAUCCAGAGAAAACACAGGCACAAGGAGUGUAAAGCCGGCAUCAUAAUGAGGUCCCCGGGAGUAGGGACCUAAGGGGGCGUGCCCUAAAUCUAGGGAACCUUCGCGAAUCCCACCACGAAGCAGCAAGAGUUCUGCCUGGGGUGGAAAACGAGGGUCUUGGCGGUGAACCAGACCUAAAGAAGAGAAAGGGUCGUGAAGGUAUCCUGGUUCAAAGUCGGGGCAGGAAAUGGCGAGGCUGGGGUUUGCAAAUUCCCACACUUACCGAGUAGAGCGAAGACAAAAUCCUUGGCUCGGAGAAGAUCAGCUCCAGGCUUGGGCCCUUCACUCCAACUCUCCUGAACACGGAGCUCCUGAAUUAACUGAGUGAGCUCCUGCAGCUGGGCGCCCGAGCAGAAAUCUAUGUCUGUGAGAGGCCGGGCUGGGGCUGGGGGCGGUGGUCCCCACCAGGGGGCACCCCCCCAGACGGUGGAAGCCAUGCUUCGCUAGCGUUUGGUGCAGUUAGCUUUGGCAGGCCUUUCUUUUGCGGCCCCAAACUUGUCCAGUUUUCCCCUCCCUCUGAGGCAGAUCAAGGGUUACAGACAGGCCACAAGUGGGUCUUGGAGAUGAUGUGAUCUGUAUUUAGUCUUCCUGAUGAACAAAUGACUAUUGCCUUCGGUUUUUUCUAAGCAGGUUGCCCCACGGUAAAUCGGUUCACCUGACUCAGCAGGUUAAAAAAAAAAAAAAAGGCUAUUUGGUCCCUCCUGGGAAUACAAUAGCCAAUCUUUACCACGAGCCUUUGCCCACCUCCCUUUACCUCUUUUUGAGAAGGGCUUAUUGGUCCGCGGCUUUCCGAUGAAGGGGUAGCUUCAAAGGUGGUGGACAGAAAGCAACAUAAAAGAUUCUACAGGUAACUUCCUGGUGGUCACAUGUCCACGCCCUUUCUGGAAGCUGUCUGGGUGGCUCCGGACUGGUUCCGCCUCCUGUGAGAGUUCGUUCAGUCACGCCUCUCACCCUGCUGAGAUGUUGUUACCCUGGGAGUUGUAGUUUGUGUUCCACGAUACAGGUGCAGCGGUGCCUACACACCCUUUCCGUUGUUUCAAAGUAGUGCCUACUGGAAGCUGUAGUUUGUUUGUUUGUUUUCCUUUUUAUCCCUUCAAUUUAUUUAGCUAUUUGAGACUGGGUCUCACUGUGCACCUCUGGAUGGCUUGGAACUUGCUAUGUAGACCUGACUGACUGCAUCUCAAACAGUUCAUCCUGCCUCUGCCUCCUGAGUUCUGAGAUUAAAGACAUAUGGUACCUUUUAUACAAAGUCUUAUGUAGCCCAAGAUGGCCUGGAGUCACCAUGUAGCCCAGGCUGACCCUGAACUCACAGCAGGCUUCCUAUUUCAGCUUCCUUGAUGAGAGAAGUUACAGGUUCCUGCCACUACACCCAGCUGGAGACAGUAUAUUAUUCUGUCUAAUCAGUCCUACACAAACACUCCUUGGAAUUGAAGAAUAAUCGGUUGGAUCCGAACAGUAAAUAAUGAACAUUUCCUUCGGUCCAGUUUUGAGGCUCCAUGGCCUCUUAGACAAGGCUCUUUAAAGGAAAUUCUGACUUCAUUCUGUUUUUAUCUAACUUGAGCUAGGGCCUCACUGUCUAGCUAAGGCUGGCCUGAAACUCACUAUGUCUAUCAGGGGGGCUAGUUUUGAACUCAGAGAUCCACCUGCCUCUGCCUCCCAGGAAUCAAAGGUCUCUGAUCAUUUGAGAGAAGCUAUGGCUUGGAAAUGUCAGGAGAUGGAACAACUGGACACUUUUUUUUUAAAGAUUUAUUUUAGGUAAAUGAGUGCUCUGUCUGCAUGUACACUUGUGUGCCAGAAGAGGGCAUCAGAUCCCUUAUGGAUGGUUGUGAGCCAUCGUGUAGUUGCUGGGAAUUGAACUCAGGUCCUCUGGAAAAGCAGCCAGUACUCUUAACCGCUGAGCCGUCUCUCCAGCCCUUUGACUCUUUUAAAAGAAGGGAAAAGCUGAGCGUGGCCUUUAAUCUUAGUGCUUGGGGUACAGAAGCAGGCUGAUCUCUGUGAGCUCAAGGCUGGCUUGGUCUGCACAGAGUUCUAGGUAGUGAGGACUGAAUAGUGAGACCUUGUCAAAAUAAAAUAAAGUAAAAUAAAAUAAAACAAAAU